GAAGAUAGAAAAAGGAAAAAAAACAGAAAAUAAAUUAUUAAAUAAAAAAUUAUGUAAAAGAGAAAAACAGUCUAAAAUCGUGGUCGGAAACUUUGAACGUAGAGGAUCAGUUUUGUUCAAAGAAAUAUUAGGAUAUAACUGCUAGGAAUUAUGGAUCAAAUAUAAAAAUUUUCAAUCAAUUAUUUCUAAAAAAAAAUAUUUUCCACUUGUCAAAAUUUGAUUCACCAAGUGACUUGUGCUUUAGUAUAUAAGGGAUUAGGAUCGAGACACGUAGUCUAGUCGCAGCGGAGAAAGUUUCAGAAGAAAAAAAUGGACCCCUGUAUUUUUCAUAUUUUUGAAAAGGAUCCUAAUGUUUCUAAUUUUAUCAAAAUAAUCCAAAUUUUUCAGUUAGAUAAUAAAGAGACCGUCUUGUUUUGGAAGGAAACAGAUUUCGUGGGUGUGCAAUGUAAUUUGUUUUCAAGUCUUGUUUUGGUUAGUUUGUUUCGCGUUACUGUGUCAGUGUGAAGGGUAUGCUAGUCUGUAAUAGGUGUAUAGUAUCCGUAAAGCGGACUCAAGAUCUGAGUCGUUGAAAACUGAAUGCUUGUAACACGUGGAGAAAUCUCUGGGAUUGUUUUGGUAUUGGUGGUGAUAGCGAAAGGCAUAAUAGCAUGACUCCGUUUGUUGGAGUCAAUGCUUAUCUCUAUCAUUUUUUGUGUCUGCGACAAUUAUUUUGUAUUUUUGAUUGGGUUUGACUGUUAGGCCACCUCCAACACCAGUCUCUUAGUAAGUAUAUUAAGACUAAAAAAUAGAAAAUAUAUUGAAAAAGGUGAAAAAAAGAGAAACAGUAUAUGUGCAGA
RNAcentral lists this long non-coding RNA (836 nucleotides) under Brassica rapa (field mustard). RNAcentral's name for it is "long non-coding RNA (BRAP_LNC004255)". The record is from RNAcentral. Lineage: Eukaryota; Viridiplantae; Streptophyta; Magnoliopsida; Brassicales; Brassicaceae.